This 1140-nucleotide long non-coding RNA is filed under the name Homo sapiens (human). RNAcentral's name for it is "long non-coding RNA NONHSAT175504.1". Lineage: Eukaryota; Metazoa; Chordata; Mammalia; Primates; Hominidae. The record is from RNAcentral.
CCGCAGGCUCCCGGGCCAGGCGUGCAAGGCCCCCUCUCCUGCCAGGGCCCAGGACGCUGCGGGCCCCAGCGGAGGGGAAGGGGACUAAGUAGGGGAAGAAGCUGUAAACAGCCCCAGCGUCCGGGCCUCGCCUCGAAGAGCCGCGCUUCCCAGGCCCAGCCGCGGGCCGCCCAGGCCCCCAGCCUGCCCCGGGGCCGCCGCGCCCGGGGUCCGGGACACCGGAGGGGAGUCGGGUCCCCUCCCCGGAGAGCUCCGGGAGCUCGCGGAGCGGCCCCAGGAGCAGAGAAGGGGGAAGUCAGGACUUACCUGUCAUUACUUUCUACGCCAUCUUGGAUCCACUUGUCAACGUCCCCACAAAGCAUUAUGGGCUCUCCCACGGAGCACCCUCUGCUGACUCUGCAGCCCCGCAGGCCUUCCUCGAACAGUCCAUGACAGGAAGCCAGGCUUCCUGGGGUCCUGAGUCAGCAGAGCAGGAAGGAAACAAAGGCCUCAGAACCGCAGAAGAGAAAGAAGGCAGCCUGAAGACAGAAGGCGACCCUCUGAAGACAGGUCUAGAGACUUAACGUAUGAUGUUCCUGGAGUCCUGUUGCCUGUAAGGGAAGCACAAACCCUGAGUUGCACUGUGUCCUCUGACCUGUCUGAUCCCAGGUACCUCUUCAGUAGAAAAAUUCAAUAAGGUUUCUGACACUUUCUACCUAUGGGCCAGUUACAUACAGAAGAGAAAACUGAAACUGAAAACUGGUUUGUCAUUUUUACAGAAAGUCACUGCAAAGAAGGAGAAUUCCAAGUGCAAAUGACUUGAGGUGUUGAAUUGAGAACCAGGCAGAUCCACCACCUACAGUAAAGAUGACCCUAAAGUGAAUUGGUUGAAGAAAUUAGAUCCCAAAGAUUCUUGGUGAAUUUUCAAGUCUUCAUCAGUAUAUCCAUAUUAAAAGGAGAUGACAGAAGCCAAAAUAAAAGAAUUAUGGGCUGACGGGACAACUGGAUUAAAAUAAGCAUCAGUUUCGUUAAAAAGGGCUAACUUGAAGAUAAAUCUUUUGACUCCAGCUCUUUAGAGGAUCUAAAGUGACCCUGAUGGACAGUGGAAAAAAUCACAACAUGGAAUCCCUUGGAUAAAAAUCUAUUGACUUUGAAUAAUUU